RNAcentral lists this transfer RNA (77 nucleotides) under Candidatus Moranbacteria bacterium CG_4_9_14_3_um_filter_40_7. Its description in RNAcentral is "tRNA-Asp". It matches the Rfam family "tRNA". Rfam says of the family: Transfer RNA (tRNA) molecules are approximately 80 nucleotides in length. Their secondary structure includes four short double-helical elements and three loops (D, anti-codon, and T loops). The record is from RNAcentral. Lineage: Bacteria; Candidatus Moraniibacteriota. RNAcentral also lists the same sequence under 2 other names.
GGACCGGUAGCUCAGUUGGUUAGAGCGUCUCCCUGUCACGGAGAAGGUCGCGAGUUCGAGUCUCGUCCGGUCCGCCU